UUAUUGUUUACGAAUUGUCUUUUAGACAAAGUAAACGAUUGGAUAGCUCGUGUGAGGCUCAACUAAUAACGUUUAUCUUCUUUGGCCAAUUAGAAGUAAGAUUUACCUUCUUGUUCCUCUGUCUCGAUUGACAUCAGAGUCACGUUAGAGUCACGUUAUUAUUCCUAUAUUGUUCGUCACAAAACACGUAUCCAAAACACGUAGAGAGGAACGAAUAUUCGAUUUGAUAUUGUGACUGUGUGGUUUGGUAAAUCAGAAUAAAUACAAUUUAUUUAGUUAAGUUUCCUAGGAGAAAAAAUACGAAAUGGAUAAACAUUUGAACAUUCAAAGGACUGCAUCGAUGGCAGUUAUAGGAAUAGGAUCCGUUGUGGACCUUUAUGUAUUGGGAAAAGCUUGGAAAUUAUUUACUGAAGAUGAAAAUGUCUACAUCCAAAUUGCUUUUUUUACAGCAAUGGGUUUCAAUACGCAUUUAUUUAUGUCAACGUUUAAAUAUUUUUACAUUUACAUUAAGUUAUUAUUA
Molecule: long non-coding RNA, 520 nt
Organism: Pogonomyrmex barbatus (red harvester ant)
Lineage: Eukaryota; Metazoa; Arthropoda; Insecta; Hymenoptera; Formicidae
Source: RefSeq, a predicted model, not a curated record